Odobenus rosmarus divergens (Pacific walrus) is the source of this 1909-nucleotide RNA transcript. It is a transcript of the gene named SUMO-activating enzyme subunit 2-like, with no coding region annotated. The transcript has a single exon. The record is from RefSeq and is a predicted model, not a curated record. NCBI's taxonomy places the organism in Eukaryota, Metazoa, Chordata, Mammalia, Carnivora, Odobenidae.
CAUGGUCGUCCCGCCAUGGCACUGUCGCGGGGACUGCCCAGGGAGCUGGCCGGGGCUGUGGCCAGGGUCCGGGUGCUGGUGGUGGGCACGGGUGGCAUCGGCUGUGAGCUCCUCGUGCUCACCGGCUUCUUCCACAUCAACCUGAUUGAUCUGGAUACUAUCUACGUCAGCAACCUCAACAGGCAGUUUUUUGUUUCAAAAGAAACAUGUUGGAAGAUCAAAGGCCCAGGUUGCCAAAGAAAGUGUCCUGCAGUUUUACCCAAAAGCUAAUAUCUUAGCCUACCAUGAUAGCAUCAUGAACCCUGACUAUAAUGUAGAAUUUUUUCAACAAUUUAUAUUGGUUAUGAAUGCUUUAGAUAACAGAGCUGCCCGCAACCAUGUUAAUAGGAUGUGUCUGGCAGCUGAUGUUCCUCUUAUUGAGAGUGGAACUGCUGGUUAUCUUGGGCAAGUAACUACCAUCAAAAAGGGUGUAACUGAGUCUUAUGAAUGUCAUCCCAGACCAACCCAGAGCACUUUUCCUGGCUGCACAAUUCAUAACAACCCCUUCUGAACCUAUUCAUUGCAUCGUUUGAGCAAAGUACUUGUUUAACCAGUUGUUUGGGGAAGAAGAUGCUAAUCAAGAAGUACCCCCUGACAGCUGACCCUGAAGCUUCCUGGGAACCAAUGGAAGCUGAAGCCAGGGCCAGAGCAUCUAACGAAGAUGGUGACAUUAAACGUAUUUCCACUAAGAAAUGGGCUAAAUCAACUGGGUAUGUUCUGGUUAAACUUUUUACCAAGCUUUUUAAAGAUGAUAUCUGGUAUCUGUUGACAAUGGACAAACUGUGGCGGAAAAGGAAACCUCCAGUUCCAUUGGACUGGGCUGAAGUACAAAGUCAAGGAGAAGAAACCAAUGCAUCAAACUGCAGUUAGGUCUGAAAGACCAGCACAUUCUAGAUGUAAAGAGCUAUGCAUGUCUUUUUUCAAAGAGCAUUGAGACUUUGAGAGUUCAUUUAGCAGAAAAAGGGGAUAGAGCUGAGCUCAUAUGGGACAAGGAUGACCCAUCUGCAACGGAUUUUGUCACCUCUGCUGUGAACCUCAGGAUGUGUAUGUUCAUUAUGAAUAUGAAGAGCAGAUUUAAUAUAAAAUCAAUGGCAGGAACAUUAUUCCUGCUGCUACUAAGGCAGUGAUUACUGGGUUAAUAGUAUUGGAAGGAUUGAAGAUUUUAUCAGGAAAAAUAGACCAGUGUAGAACAAUUUUUUUGAAUAAACAACCAAACCCAAGAAAGAAGCUUCUUGUGCCUUGUGCACUGGAUCGUCCUAACCCUAAUUGUUACGUAUGUGCCAGUAAGCCAGAGGUGACUGUUCGGCUGAACGUCCACAAAGUGACUGUUCUCACAUUACAGGAUAAGAUAAUGAAAGAAAAAUUUGCUAUGGUAGCACCAAGUGUCCAAAUUGAAGAUGGGAAAGGAACAAUCCUAGCAUCUUCAGAAGAGGGAGAGACAGAAGCUAAUAAUCACAAAAAGCUGUCAGAAUUUGGAAUUAGAAAUGGGAGGCGGCUUCAAGCAGACAACUUCCUUCAGGACUACACUUUAUUGGUCAACAUCCUUCAUAGUGAGGACCUAGAGAAGGAUGUUGAAUUUGAAGUUGUUGGUGAUGCCCCAGAAAAAGUGGGGCCCAAACAAGCCGAAGAUGCUGCCGAAAGCAUAACCAAUGGCAGUGACAACGGAGCUCAGCCUUUCACCUCCACCACACAAGAGCAAGAUGAUGUGCUCGCAGUUGAUUCCGAUGAAGAAGGUCCUUCAAAUAAUGAUGACAUCAGUGAGGAAGAGAGAAGUCGCAAGAGGAAAUUAGAUGAGAAAGAGAAUAUCAGUGCAAAGAGGUCCCACUCAGAACAGACAGAAGAGCUUGAUGAUGUUUUAGCAUUAGAUUGA